UUGCCUAGUAACGGCGAGUGAAGCGGCAACAGCUCAAAUUUGAAAUCUGGCGCAAGCCCGAGUCGUAAUUUGUAGAGGAUGCUUCUAGGUAGCGACCGGUCUAAGUUCCUUGGAACAGGACGUCAUAGAGGGUGAGAAUCCCGUAUGUGACCGGCCCGCACCUUCUACGUAGCUCCUUCGACGAGUCGAGUUGUUUGGGAAUGCAGCUCUAAAUGGGAGGUAAAUUUCUUCUAAAGCUAAAUACCGGCCAGAGACCGAUAGCGCACAAGUAGAGUGAUCGAAAGAUGAAAAGCACUUUGGAAAGAGAGUUAAAAAGCACGUGAAAUUGUUGAAAGGGAAGCGCUUACAACCAGACUUCUGGGCGGUGUUCCGCCGGUCUUUUGACCGGGUCUACUCGCCGUCCCGAGGCCAACAUCAUCUGGGACCGCUGGAUAAGACCUCAGGAAUGUAGCUUCCCUCGGGAAGUGUUAUAGCCUGUGGUGAUGCAGCGCGUCUCGGGUGAGGUCCGCGCUUCGGCAAGGAUGUUGGCGUAAUGGUUGUCAGCGGCCCGUCUUGAAACACGGACCAAGGAGUCUAACAUCUAUGCGAGUGUUCGGGUGUCAAACCCCUACGCGUAAUGAAAGUGAACGGAGGUGGGGAAGCGUAAGCUGCACCAUCGACCGAUCCUGAUGUCCUCGGAUGGAUUUGAGUAAGGAGCAUAGCUGUGGGGACCCGGAAAGAUGGUGAACUAAUGCCUUGAAUUAGGGGUGAAGCCAGGAGGGAAACUCUGGUGGGAGGCUUCGCAGCCGGUUCUGACGGUGCAAAUCGAUCGUCAAAAUUUGGGGUAUAGGGGGCGAAAGGACUAAAUCGAAACUCAUC
Molecule: ribosomal RNA, 858 nt
Filed under: Ramularia sp.
Lineage: Eukaryota; Fungi; Ascomycota; Dothideomycetes; Mycosphaerellales; Mycosphaerellaceae
Description: LSU rRNA
Rfam family: Eukaryotic large subunit ribosomal RNA
Source: RNAcentral